RNAcentral lists this ribosomal RNA (279 nucleotides) under uncultured archaeon. RNAcentral describes it as "partial 16S rRNA". It matches the Rfam family "Archaeal small subunit ribosomal RNA", at positions 1047 to 1325 of the family's 1478-position model. The record is from RNAcentral.
GAGACCCACGCCCACAGUUGCCAGCGUACUCUCCGGAGUGACGGGUACACUGUGGGGACCGCCGCUGCUAAAGCGGAGGAAGGAAUGGGCAACGGUAGGUCAGUAUGCCCCGAAUAUCCCGGGCUACACGCGAGCUACAAUGGUUGGUACAAUGGGUAUCUACCCCGAAAGGGGACGGAAAUCUCCUAACGCCAAUCUUAGUUCGGAUCGAGGGCUGCAACUCGCCCUCGUGAAGCUGGAAUCCGUAGUAAUCGCACAUCAACAGUGUGCGGUGAAUAC